UGACUCCCCACCCUCCGCUUCCUCUGCCGCCGGCAUUUUCUUUCUUAUUAUUGAAUGUUAAGUGUAAAAAUAACUUCUAUAUUUUCUAUUUUUUUUCUCUCUUAUUCCAGGAAGAGCAACCGAGGUUUCAAUCUGCGGCUGACAAACGGGCUCAUCAUAAUGCACUGGAACGAAAACGUAGGGACCACAUCAAAGACAGCUUUCACAGUUUGCGGGACUCAGUCCCAUCACUCCAAGGAGAGAAGGCAUCCCGGGCCCAAAUCCUAGACAAAGCCACAGAAUAUAUCCAGUAUAUGCGAAGGAAAAACCACACACACCAGCAAGAUAUUGACGACCUCAAGCGGCAGAAUGCUCUUCUGGAGCAGCAAGGUGAGCACCCGAGCUCGUGGGGCAGCUGGCCCUGCUGUGCUCCAGCCAGGUCAGGCUUUGGCACCUGGGCCUGCAGAGUCAGAGCCAGUCAUGGAGUAUGUGCUCAGUAGCAGGCUUGGUCCUGCUUCUUGGGGCCUGAGUAACUGAGUGUUAGAGCCGUCCUGAGGAAGGACCUGAGGUGCCAGUGAGGAGACAGUGGAAGCUAGGAAGUUGGACAUCUGGAGACUUGUAUCUUUUCUGGCCUGACCUCUCCCCUUCUUGGGGCUCAGGUGCUCUGCCUGCAGUAGGGAUCACACCUGGCAUCAGGUGUCUGAAAAGAGCUUUGAGGUCCUUGGAGUGGAAUGUGCUGUAUAAGUACCAGAGACUCCAGGUGUUCAGGGACAGUGAGCCCUCCCCAUUGUCAAUGGUAGUCCAAUCAGGGCAGCCUAUGGGCUAGGCCCAUGCUGUUCUCAAUGCUCACACCCGCCUUUUCCUACAACCACAGGGGAAAGCGAGAGCUGAUCAAGUUCUUUGUUCCUGGGGAAUUCACUUCUCUUCCUCCCUCAUGGAAGAUGCAAGUAAAAGGAAAUGCAAGUAACCACCUGGGUUAGAAAACCUCAAAUAAAAUAAAAUAAAAUAAAAUAAAAUAAAAUAAAAUAAAUGGGUUGACCUUCCAGGCUCAAGCUGAGCUGAACCAAGGGAUGGGCAGUGGGUGGUGUCAGUGGGUUGGUUACUGGGCCAGGCAGCCUGCAUGUA
This 1104-nucleotide small RNA is filed under the name Pan troglodytes (chimpanzee). RNAcentral's name for it is "retained intron". Lineage: Eukaryota; Metazoa; Chordata; Mammalia; Primates; Hominidae. The record is from RNAcentral.